GUUUGGAUACAUGGAUAUCAAAGCCGGGGAUCGCAAGACCUGGCGCUUUGAAGAGGGGCCCGCGUCCGAUUAGCUAGUUGGUGGGGUAACGGCUCACCAAGGCUCCGAUCGGUAUCCGGCCUGAGAGGGCGGACGGACACACUGGAACUGAGACACGGUCCAGACUCCUACGGGAGGCAGCAGUGGGGAAUUGUUCGCAAUGGGCGAAAGCCUGACGACGCAACGCCGCGUGGAGGAUGAAGAAUUUCGGUUCGUAAACUCCUUUCGACCGAGAUGAAUAUCCGUCGACCUAACACGUCGGCGGACUGACAGUAUCGAGAGAAGAAGCCCCGGCUAACUCUGUGCCAGCAGCCGCGGUAAUACAGGGGGGGCAAGCGUUGUUCGGAAUUACUGGGCGUAAAGGGUUCGUAUGUGGCCACUUAAGUCAGACGUGAAAUCCCUCAGCUUAACUGGGGAACUGCGUCUGAUACUGC
RNAcentral lists this ribosomal RNA (473 nucleotides) under uncultured bacterium. RNAcentral's name for it is "bacterial SSU rRNA". It matches the Rfam family "Bacterial small subunit ribosomal RNA", at positions 184 to 636 of the family's 1533-position model. The record is from RNAcentral.